RNAcentral lists this ribosomal RNA (422 nucleotides) under Fusobacteriota bacterium. RNAcentral describes it as "Fusobacteria bacterium partial 16S ribosomal RNA". It matches the Rfam family "Bacterial small subunit ribosomal RNA", at positions 355 to 776 of the family's 1533-position model. Lineage: Bacteria; Fusobacteriati; Fusobacteriota. The record is from RNAcentral.
UGGGGGAUUUUGCACAAUGGGCGCAAGCCUGAUGCAGCGACGCCGCGUGAGGGAUGAAGGCCUUCGGGUUGUAAACCUCUUUCGCUGGGUUGAAAGGCCAUGCUUUGGGUGUGGUUGAUUUGAACUGGUAAAGAAGUACCGGCUAACUACGUGCCAGCAGCCGCGGUAAUACGUAGGGUACUAGCGUUGUCCGGAUUUAUUGGGCAUAAAGGGCUUGUAGGUGGUUUGUCGCGUCUGUCGUGAAAUCCUGUGGCUUAACCAUGGGCUUGCGGUGGGUACGGGCAGGCUUGAGUGCGGUAGGGGAGACUGGAAUUCCUGGUGUAGCGGUGGAAUGCGCAGAUAUCAGGAGGAACACCGGUGGCGAAGGCGGGUCUCUGGGCCGUUACUGACACUGAGGAGCGAAAGCGUGGGGAGCGAACAGG